UCCCAGCAGUCCAAGUCGCAGCCACAUUUGUUGGGUCUAAAACAUCCGUAGCUUGCUUCGUAAGUCGUCUGUGAAAUCCGAUCUCUUAAAGAUCGGGCGUGCACACGAUACUGCGGAGCUUGAGACCGGGAGACGCAGAGAGUACGAUACGGGGAGCGGUAAAAUGUGUUGAUCCGUAUUGGACUAACAAUAGCGAAGGCACUCUGCGAGAACGGAUCUGACAGUGAGGGAUGAAGGCGAGGGGCGCAAAGUG
RNAcentral lists this ribosomal RNA (253 nucleotides) under uncultured archaeon. Its description in RNAcentral is "partial 16S ribosomal RNA". It matches the Rfam family "Archaeal small subunit ribosomal RNA", at positions 474 to 726 of the family's 1478-position model. The record is from RNAcentral.